This 97-nucleotide transfer RNA is filed under the name Chloroflexota bacterium. RNAcentral's name for it is "Chloroflexi bacterium (freshwater metagenome) tRNA-Ser". It matches the Rfam family "tRNA". From Rfam's summary of the family: Transfer RNA (tRNA) molecules are approximately 80 nucleotides in length. Their secondary structure includes four short double-helical elements and three loops (D, anti-codon, and T loops). Further hydrogen bonds mediate the characteristic L-shaped molecular structure. tRNAs have two regions of fundamental functional importance: the anti-codon, which is responsible for specific mRNA codon recognition, and the 3' end, to which the tRNAs corresponding amino acid is attached (by aminoacyl-tRNA synthetases). tRNAs cope with the degeneracy of the genetic code in two manners: having more than one tRNA (with a specific anti-codon) for a particular amino acid; and 'wobble' base-pairing, i.e. permitting non-standard base-pairing at the 3rd anti-codon position. The record is from RNAcentral. Lineage: Bacteria; Bacillati; Chloroflexota.
GGAGGGAUCGCAUAGCCCGGUCUAGUGCGGCCGCCUGCUAAGCGGUUAUAGGGGUCUAAAGCCCCUAUCACGGGUUCAAAUCCCGUUCCCUCCGCCA